Molecule: transfer RNA, 68 nt
Filed under: Marmota monax (woodchuck)
Lineage: Eukaryota; Metazoa; Chordata; Mammalia; Rodentia; Sciuridae
Description: tRNA.Ala
Source: RNAcentral
GUUGUAGCUCAGUGGUAGAGCACUUGCCUAGCACAUGUGAGGCACUGGGUUCGAUCCUCUGCACAACA